Molecule: long non-coding RNA, 644 nt
Organism: Salvelinus fontinalis (brook trout)
Lineage: Eukaryota; Metazoa; Chordata; Actinopteri; Salmoniformes; Salmonidae
Exons: 3
Source: RefSeq, a predicted model, not a curated record
AACCCCCUUUUUUUUGCUUUCCUACCCCUUUUUAUCUCCCCUCCCUCUGCCCCUUCUUUCUCUGUCCCUCUCCAUCCGUCCUUCCCUCCCCUAACACCCUCCCACUACGAGCUGAGGAGGAGUGAGCAGGUAAACCAGAUUGGAGUCGCGUGGAGUAAAACCCUAACCUGACAUCAGUUUAUGACGUUGCAUGAAGGAGCAAAACGGGAAGUCACCGAGAGGCCGACAUGAUAACUCACAUCAUGUAGAGGACUAUAUAUCAUAAAGAGGACGUUGAAACAAAAUGACUGAAUCAUGAGAAUCAAAACUGUCAGCCUUACAAGCUGGCUACAGUUUCUCUGGGACUGCUGUGUGUUCUCCUACUAACCACAGUCAUAGGUCUCUCUGUGCUCUAUGACGAUGACUACAAUCAACUGUCAAGAACUCAUUAUCUCCUAACAGCCAACCACACCACAGAGAAGAAAGAGCUUCAGACUAGUUAUGAAAACCUGACUAAAGAGAAAGAACAGUUGGAGAGGGAGAGAGACCAGUUACUGAUCAGUUAUAAAAGCUUGACUAAAGAAAGAGACCAGUCACAAACUCAUUAUAUCACCUUAACUAGAGAGAGAGACGGAUGAGAGAGAUGUCAGACUAGAGAGAGAUGU